RNAcentral lists this transfer RNA (68 nucleotides) under Isara chinensis. RNAcentral describes it as "tRNA-Pro". Lineage: Eukaryota; Metazoa; Mollusca; Gastropoda; Neogastropoda; Mitridae. The record is from RNAcentral.
CGGGAUUGUAGUUUAAUAAAAAUAUUAGCAUUGGAAGUUAAAGAUUAGGUAAUAAUCCUACAUCUCGA